Molecule: ribosomal RNA, 286 nt
Filed under: uncultured Streptococcus sp.
Lineage: Bacteria; Bacillati; Bacillota; Bacilli; Lactobacillales; Streptococcaceae
Description: partial 16S ribosomal RNA
Rfam family: Bacterial small subunit ribosomal RNA
Source: RNAcentral
CAACCCCUGUGGUUAGUUGCCAGCAAGUAGCGUUGGGCACGUCUAGCCAGACUGCCGGUGAUAAAUCGGAGGAAGGUGGGGACGACGUCAAAUCAUCAUGCCCUUUAUGACCUGGGCUACACACGUGCUACAAUGGUUGGUACAACGAGUUGCGAGUCGGUGACGGCGAGCUAAUCUCUUAAAAGCCAAUCUCAGUUCGGAUUGUAGGCUGCAACUCGCCUACAUGAAGUCGGAAUCGCUAGUAAUCGCGGAUCAGCACGCCGCGGUGAAUACGUUCCCGGGCCUU